Molecule: ribosomal RNA, 440 nt
Filed under: uncultured bacterium
Lineage: Bacteria
Description: partial 16S ribosomal RNA
Rfam family: Bacterial small subunit ribosomal RNA
Source: RNAcentral
CCUACGGGAGGCAACAGUGGGGAAUAUUGCACAAUGGGGGAAACCCUGAUGCAGCGACGCCGCGUGAGUGAAGAAGUAUUUCGGUAUGUAAAGCUCUAUUAGCAGGGAAGAAAAUGACGGUACCUGACUAAGAAGCCCCGGCUAACUACGUGCCAGCAGCCGCGGUAAUACGUAGGGGGCAAGCGUUAUCCGGAUUUACUGGGUGUAAAGGGAGCGUAGACGGCAGUACAAGUCUGGUGUGAAAUGCCGGUGCUUAACCACGGAACUGCAUUGGAAACUGUGCGGCUAGAGUGCAGGAGAGGUAAGUGGAAUUCUUGGUGUAGCGGUAAAAUGCGUAGAUAUUAAGAGGAACACUAGUGGCGAAGGCGACUUACUGGAAUGUAACUGACGUUGAGGCUCGAAAGCGUGGGGAGCAAACAGGAUUAGAUACCCCAGUAGUC